RNAcentral lists this ribosomal RNA (426 nucleotides) under uncultured bacterium. Its description in RNAcentral is "bacterial SSU rRNA". It matches the Rfam family "Bacterial small subunit ribosomal RNA", at positions 356 to 773 of the family's 1533-position model. The record is from RNAcentral.
GGGGAAUUUUUCGCAAUGGGCGCAAGCCUGACGAAGCAACGCCGCGUGGAGGAUGAAGGCCUUCGGGUCGUAAACUCCUGUCGACCGGGACGAAAGCAGUCUGGCCGAUAACUCCAGGCUGUUGACUGUACCGGUGGAGGAAGCCACGGCUAACUCUGUGCCAGCAGCCGCGGUAAUACAGAGGGUGCGAGCGUUGUCCGGAAUCACUGGGCGUAAAGGGCGCGUAGGCGGUGACUUAAGCGUGUGGUGAAAGCUCGGGGCUCAACCCCGAGUCGGCCGUGCGAACUGGGUCACUGGAGCAGAUCAGAGGCAGGCGGAAUUCCGGGUGUAGCGGUGGAAUGCGUAGAGAUCCGGAAGAACACCGGUGGCGAAGGCGGCCUGCUGGGAUCUUGCUGACGCUGAGGCGCGACAGCGUGGGGAGCAAAC